AUCUUUUGUCCGCGAACACCAACCAGAGCGUUUUUUCUCAUUAACGUUACAUCUUACUGGUUGAAAGUACGACUGUCCUAUUUGGACUACAACCAACCAUAGCUUUUCGUCUAGCUCAUGUAAAUACAGUAUGGAUGCUUCAGCAGAUGCUUCAACAGUUGAAGAGCAAUCAGCUUUAGCGCAAGGAACUGAUGGAGAUGCUGAAACACUAGAAAUACCAGUUAUAGAGGGUGGUGAUCAUGGUAGUGAUGGAGCUGCAGCUUUAGCAAUGUCUAAUGAUUAUAGUCUUUAUGUGCAAGAAGGUAUGUAA
This is a long non-coding RNA of Saccoglossus kowalevskii, 310 nucleotides long. The record is from RefSeq and is a predicted model, not a curated record. Lineage: Eukaryota; Metazoa; Hemichordata; Enteropneusta; Harrimaniidae.